CCGUGCUAGGCGGGGAGCUGGCGGUUCCCUGUACCCCCGAUCCGCCACAGGGGGGCUGAACCCCCGCCCGAGGCGGCGCGGCUACGGGUCCGGUCCGCGGUCCCCGGUGAGGACGGCUGGGUCCUGCGCGACGGGAACCUGCGAACCCCGCCAGGUCCGGAAGGAAGCAACGGUAAGCAGACCCUCCCGGGCGCCGCAGGGGCACCUAGCCGGAGCCGGUACGCGGGGGCCGCCGCGGUCGCGGCGUCGACGGCGGGUGCACGG
This 264-nucleotide signal recognition particle RNA is filed under the name Pseudomonadota bacterium. RNAcentral describes it as "signal recognition particle sRNA large type". It matches the Rfam family "Bacterial large signal recognition particle RNA". From Rfam's summary of the family: The signal recognition particle (SRP) is a universally conserved ribonucleoprotein involved in the co-translational targeting of proteins to membranes. Archaeal SRP consists of a 7S RNA and homologues of the eukaryotic SRP19 and SRP54 proteins. RNAcentral also lists the same sequence under 2 other names. Lineage: Bacteria; Pseudomonadati; Pseudomonadota. The record is from RNAcentral.